RNAcentral lists this ribosomal RNA (424 nucleotides) under uncultured prokaryote. RNAcentral's name for it is "bacterial SSU rRNA". It matches the Rfam family "Bacterial small subunit ribosomal RNA", at positions 355 to 796 of the family's 1533-position model. The record is from RNAcentral.
UAGGGAAUAUUGCACAAUGGAGGAAACUCUGAUGCAGCGACGCCGCGUGAGUGAUGAAGGCCCUCGGGUUGUAAAGCUCUGUGAUAGGGGAAGAUAAUGACGGUACCCUAUCAGAAAGGACCGGCUAACUUCGUGCCAGCAGCCGCGGUAAUACGAGGGGUCCAAGCGUUGUUCGGAAUUACUGGGCGUAAAGCGGGUGUAGGUGGCUUGGCAAGUCGGAUGUGAAAGCCCUGGGCUCAACCCAGGAAGUGCAUCCGAUACUGCCAAACUUGAGUACGGAAGAGGGAAGUGGAAUUCCAGGUGUAGUGGUGAAAUACGUAGAUAUCUGGAGGAACAUCGGCGGCGAAGGCGGCUUCCUGGUCCUGUACUGACACUCAGACCCGAAAGCGUGGGGAGCAAACAGGAUUAGAUACCCCCGUAGUCC